This 735-nucleotide long non-coding RNA is filed under the name Vulpes vulpes (red fox). Its description in RNAcentral is "lncRNA (ENSVVUG00000002889.1)". The record is from RNAcentral. Lineage: Eukaryota; Metazoa; Chordata; Mammalia; Carnivora; Canidae.
UUUAUUUUUAGUGCCAAGGAUGAUCCCAACUGUUCUUCUAUUGCAGAAGAUGUUUAAAGGGAUAUGAAGAUGACAUUGAGAUGAAAAAUAAAUUGGCCUCAGCUCAGAGAAGGCGGCGCUGAGGUCAGCUGUGCUGUGCAGAUGACAGAGCUCUGACUGGGAGGCCUAAUGAAGGAUGCUCGGGGCUUGAAAGGGCCGGGGCGCUGCUUGUCCUGCCGCCUGCCGGGCCUUUUGUGCUGUAUAGAGUUGUCUCUCUUGUCGGAGCCAGGAACCAGACAGCUGGAAAACAGGCUUCAAUUCAGCCAUCAAACUGAAUAUUGCGUGAAGAGCAGGGAAGGAAGAGUGCUUCUGAAAAGAAAAGUAGAACAAGAGGAAAAGCAUGACGUGGUGGGCUUGGGGAUUCCUUUAAAGAGUGACUAUACUGAGGGAUGAAUGGUCAGUAAAGCACCUCUCUUGCUGGGUAUGGCUCAGUCUUAAGUCUUGUGUUCUGGUCCAUUUACUUCCUGCUGCUCCUGAAGAGUCAUCCCCCUUAAGAACCUGCUCUAGUGGCCGAAGUGAAUGAAUGCUGGUGUAGUCCCUCCCAGCAGCACAGGCAUGUGUACCCAGGCAUGCUCACACAUGCUCACACACAUAGACAUACACAUCACAUACACACACAUACACACAGUGUUACUGAUUAUUGUCAGCAUUUCAAGAAAAAAAAAUGAGUUCUCAUCUUCCCACUGUGCAGUGGUA